AUUGAACGCUGGCGGCAGGCCUAACACAUGCAAGUCGAACGAGUGGCGGACGGGUGAGUAAUGUCUGGGAAACUGCCUGAUGGAGGGGGCUAACUACUGGAAACGGUAGCUAAUACCGCAUACCAUCGGAUGUGCCCAGAUGGGAUUAGCUAGUAGGUGGGGUAACGGCGCACCUAGUCGACGAUCCCUAGCUGGUCUGAGAGGAUGACCAGCCACACUGGAACUGAGACACGGUCCAGACUCCUACGGGAUGCAGCAGGGGGGAAUAUUUCACAAUGGUCGCAAGCCUGAUGCAGCCAUGCCGCUUGUAUGAAGAAGGCCUUCGGGUUGUAAAGUACUUUCAGCGGUGAGGCGUUACCCGCAGAAGAAGCACCGGCUAACUCCGUGCCAGCCGCCGCGGUAAUAC
RNAcentral lists this ribosomal RNA (406 nucleotides) under uncultured bacterium. RNAcentral's name for it is "partial 16S ribosomal RNA". It matches the Rfam family "Bacterial small subunit ribosomal RNA", at positions 30 to 526 of the family's 1533-position model. The record is from RNAcentral.